CCUGAGUGUGUGAAUGUGUCCCAGAUGCUGGGUUUUCUUCCAUCCUCUGCAACCGCACCUUCAAUCUGGAUAAUCAGCCGAAUGUUCAGGCUGCCAAAACCAGAAAGAAGUAGCCAGAAGAGAAGUUAACCUGGUGACAUCGAAAGGAGGUCGACGAAAGAGACUGGUGAGAAAAUGGCAUUUGGGUUGUUUCCUAACGACUAUAUGCAUGGGACGAAUACGCCAUCGUCAGGAAAACGAAGCAUAGACAUAAGCUGCCGGUGACUGGUUACUUAAGUUGGAUCGAGUUUAGGGAUAUGCAAACAUUAAAAAGAAAGUUUGUGUUGGUGGGAGAUGGACCCUGUAUUCCACCAUGUCCAUUACUUUCUUGCACGCCCUGUUCCACCCGUCCGAUGGAUGGCUCAGUUCACUUUGUAGGUGUAGGACCCGUCACGUGUGAACAAAAAAUGUCGUCAUGGAAAAGGCGAAGGAGCAGGUGAAGGAAAAUAACACCCGGAAAAGGUAAAAACGCACCAAUAGGUAAUCGGUACGCAAAUGCAACCUCUCUAAUGUUUCCUUUAAAGGUAAAGUGGGGAUUUUUCGUUGUUUCUAUGUAUGAAGGUGAGAUGAACGUGUGGUGGUGCUAGAAAGAGGAUAUGGACCAAGAAGCCAGCAUAUACUUGGCAGCAAUUUCUU
Long non-coding RNA from Hordeum vulgare subsp. vulgare (domesticated barley), 675 nucleotides. RefSeq lists it as uncharacterized. The transcript has 2 exons. Lineage: Eukaryota; Viridiplantae; Streptophyta; Magnoliopsida; Poales; Poaceae. The record is from RefSeq and is a predicted model, not a curated record.